Molecule: ribosomal RNA, 433 nt
Filed under: uncultured bacterium
Lineage: Bacteria
Description: partial 16S ribosomal RNA
Rfam family: Bacterial small subunit ribosomal RNA
Source: RNAcentral
AACGAACGCUGGCGGCAUGCCUAACACAUGCAAGUCGAACGAAGGCUUCGGCCUUAGUGGCGCACGGGUGCGUAACGCGUGGGAAUCUGCCCUUUGGUUCGGAAUAACAGCUGGAAACGGCUGCUAAUACCGGAUGAUGACGAAAGUCCAAAGAUUUAUCGCCAGAGGAUGAGCCCGCGUUGGAUUAGGUAGUUGGUGGGGUAAAGGCCUACCAAGCCGACGAUCCAUAGCUGGUCUGAGAGGAUGAUCAGCCACACUGGGACUGAGACACGGCCCAGAUUCCUACGGGAGGCAGCAGUGGGGAAUAUUGGACAAUGGGCGCAAGCCUGAUCCAGCAAUGCCGCGUGAGUGAUGAAGGCCCUAGGGUUGUAAAGCUCUUUUACCCGGGAAGAUAAUGACUGUACCGGGAGAAUAAGCCCCGGCUAACUCCGUG